RNAcentral lists this unclassified non-coding RNA (328 nucleotides) under plant metagenome. RNAcentral's name for it is "partial contains 5.8S ribosomal RNA, internal transcribed spacer 2, and large subunit ribosomal RNA". The stretch from base 1 to 104 matches the Rfam family "5.8S ribosomal RNA", at positions 50 to 154 of the family's 154-position model. The record is from RNAcentral.
GAAAUGCGAUAAGUAAUGUGAAUUGCAGAAUUCCGUGAAUCAUCGAAUCUUUGAACACACAUUGCGCCCUCUGGUAUUCCGGGGGUAUGCCUGUCCGAGCGUCAUUGCGAACCCCUCAAGCACGGCUUGUGUGAUGGGCCCUCCCGCGUCUUGGUCGUCAAGACGGGCCCGAAAUGCAGUGGCGGCUUCGCGGUUAUCCGAUCAGCCAGAGCGUAUGGGGACUCUCUCUCUUGUCACACGCCCGCGGCGCGGACCGACGCCUGUCGACCUUUAUUCAUCUUCUCUCGGUUGACCUCGGAUCAGGUAGGGAUACCCGCUGAACUUAAGC